This 437-nucleotide ribosomal RNA is filed under the name uncultured bacterium. RNAcentral describes it as "partial 16S ribosomal RNA". It matches the Rfam family "Bacterial small subunit ribosomal RNA", at positions 29 to 507 of the family's 1533-position model. The record is from RNAcentral.
AGCGAACGCUGGCGGCAGGCUUAACACAUGCAAGUCGAGCGGGCAUCCUUGUGGUGUCAGCGGCAGACGGGUGAGUAACGCGUGGGAACGUGCCCUUCGGUUCGGAAUAACUCAGGGAAACUUGAGCUAAUACCGGAUACGUGCGAGAGCAGAAAGGUUUAUCUGCCGAAGGAUCGGCCCGCGUCUGAUUAGCUAGUUGGUGAGGUUAUGGCUCACCAAGGCGACGAUCAGUAGCUGGUCUGAGAGGAUGAUCAGCCACACUGGGACUGAGACACGGCCCAGACUCCUACGGGAGGCAGCAGUGGGGAAUAUUGGACAAUGGGGGCAACCCUGAUCCAGCCAUGCCGCGUGAGUGAUGACGGCCUUAGGCUUGUAAAGCUCUUUUCUCCGGGACGAUAAUGACGGUACCGGAGGAAUAAGCCCCGGCUAACUUCGUG